This 274-nucleotide ribosomal RNA is filed under the name uncultured bacterium. RNAcentral's name for it is "partial 16S ribosomal RNA". It matches the Rfam family "Bacterial small subunit ribosomal RNA", at positions 523 to 796 of the family's 1533-position model. The record is from RNAcentral.
AUACGGAGGCUGCAAGCGUUACUCGGAAUCACAGGGCGUAAAGCGCGCGCAGGCGGUCUUUUAAGUUGGAUGUGAAAGCCUACGGCUCAACCGUAGAACUGCAUCCAAAACUAUUAGACUAGAGUGUGGGAGUGGAAGAUGGAAUUAGUUGUGUAGGGGUAAAAUCCGUAGAGAUAACUAGGAAUACCAAAAGCGUAGGCAAUCUUCUGGAACACUACUGACGCUGAGGCGCGAAAGCGUGGGGAGCAAACAGGAUUAGAAACCCUAGUAGUCC